Long non-coding RNA from Liolophura sinensis, 1002 nucleotides. RefSeq lists it as uncharacterized. The transcript is spliced from 5 exons. The record is from RefSeq and is a predicted model, not a curated record. Lineage: Eukaryota; Metazoa; Mollusca; Polyplacophora; Chitonida; Chitonidae.
UCCCACUUUCUGCUUGUUUUCAGCUAGCUGGUGAAAGAUUUUGUAUAUCGGUAUUUCUUUUGCAAGUGUUCGACGAAAACAGAGUUUGCUGUUUCAUUAGAUUGACAGAGCAUAGUUGCAACAUGCCACGGAAAAAGUACUGGAGAAAAACAAGAUUCCAUAAGGAGACAAAAGGGGAUGGAAACGUGUCAAAAAAAAAUGACAGUGACGAGUCUGGGACUGUUGUUUUUACAGAGAUAAGUACAGUUUCUGGACAUUUUCAUCAAGGACAUCCACAAUUUAUGCCAAAUAGUGGAGCACAAUGUGUGGCUAAUAGUUGCUCAGCUAUUCUGUAUGAUAAAGUAAAGCCAGUUUCUAUGUGGACUAGUAAUGAUCUUGAUGCUGUAUUGAUUUCUGGUGAUGAAUUGUACUCUAAUGUUAAACCUAAUCUUCCUGCUGGUGAGACCUUUUUGCUCAUUUCAGACAUUCCAGAUGUGAUGGACAUGCACAAUGGUACUUUCAGUAUAAGGGCAGGUGAAUCUUUGACAGGUUAUGUACUUGGUAGUGUUCAUGCAGAUCUGCAGUCUGAUAUUUUCAUGCCACUGAGAGAUGCUCUUGAUAGAACACUAUCUGUGUUUACUUCGUGCCUUAUAACCUUCAACUCUUCUACAUUUGCUAUCAUUAAACGAGACCAGUACUUAUAUGUCAUUGAUUCUCAUUCCAGGAAUGUAGAAGGUGUACAAGUUGUUGAUGGAACUGCUGUAAGCAUCAGAUACACAGGUCUAGAAGGGGUGUUUCAACACUGUACUCGUCUGGCUAUUUCACUCAACACUGCAGCUUGUGAAAGAACCAACCACAGAAAACGGGACACUGAUUGAUCAUGUUUAUGUCAGACAUGUCCAUUUGAAAACAGUCAAAGUCAUCCCAACUUAUUUUAGCUACCACGAUGCCAUUAUGUCCAUAUUAUAAGAAGAGCAGGAGCUUAGGUCAUGGAAAUCUCAGUAAUUGUUGGCACUGGAGCUU